CGGUCCUAAAGACAGAGCGCAAAGACACCACGACCCUGGGGUAAUCCCAGGGUUCCAUGCGUAUCCUCUGCACAUUCAGCAUGGGCUCCUCGGUGCUUGUGUCUCCAUUUUUCUGUCGUUCUGCGAUAAUCAUGGCCCGGAGGAGAGGCGGGUACGGCACGGAGGCCAGGCUGUCUUCCGGCGCCGGCGUGAACGCGGUGAAGGCCUCCUCCUCGUGCUUGGGCACCAGCCGCCAGUCAUGGUACAUGACGUGUUCGAUCUCCCGCGCCUCGCUCUCAGUCUUCCCUG
Molecule: long non-coding RNA, 288 nt
Filed under: Homo sapiens (human)
Lineage: Eukaryota; Metazoa; Chordata; Mammalia; Primates; Hominidae
Description: long non-coding RNA NONHSAT052006.2
Source: RNAcentral